This 369-nucleotide unclassified non-coding RNA is filed under the name uncultured fungus. RNAcentral describes it as "partial contains 5.8S ribosomal RNA and internal transcribed spacer 2". The stretch from base 1 to 132 matches the Rfam family "5.8S ribosomal RNA", at positions 22 to 154 of the family's 154-position model. Lineage: Eukaryota; Fungi. The record is from RNAcentral.
UGGUUCUGGCAUCGAUGAAGAACGCAGCGAAAUGCGAUAAGUAAUGCGAAUUGCAGAAUCCGUGAGUCAUCGAAUCUUUGAACGCAUAUUGCGCCCCUUGGUAUUCCGAAGGGCAUGCCUGUUCGAGCGUCAUUAUCACCUCUCAAGCCUGGCUUGCAGUUGGACCCGUGGGUCGACACCCGUUGCGGGUGGACCGACGGUCCCAAAGAUAACGACGGCGUCUGUGAGGACCCCAGUACAACGAGCCCUUGUCACGCACAGGCACGUACCAGGUGGAAGUCCAGACCCGGUCACCGGUGGGCGGGUGUUGUCGACGCCCCUCCACCCCCUCUCAAGGUUGACCUCGGAUCAGGUAGGGAUACCCGCUGA